This 101-nucleotide small nuclear RNA is filed under the name Alligator sinensis (Chinese alligator). The record is from RNAcentral. Lineage: Eukaryota; Metazoa; Chordata; Crocodylia; Alligatoridae.
CAGCUUCGGCAGCACAUGUACUAAGAUUGGAACGAUACAGAGAAGAUUAGCAUGGCCCCUGUGCAAGGAUGACGCACGUUUGUGAAGCAUUCCAUAGUUAA